Molecule: non-coding RNA, 361 nt
Organism: Paramuricea clavata
Lineage: Eukaryota; Metazoa; Cnidaria; Anthozoa; Malacalcyonacea; Plexauridae
Source: the annotation of a GenBank genome assembly
CUCUUUACUUCUCGUACAAUCGCUAUGGCAAUGACACCUACGUUUCAACAACGAUUGAUCGUUGGAACUGAGCCUUGAGUCAAGAAACGCUUGGUGUAACUGCUAUCGAAACCUUGUAAAUUGCUCUAGAGCUCUCGAAUAAAAUAGCUCUCGAAUAAAAUAGCUCUCGUCAAAAUGUGCCGAGCACAACCAUAUUCUUGAAGAAGACGUUUCAGGGUCAAAGUUAGAUCGAUGUCUUCGAACAAAACGAACCCAUUGCCUUCGUAGGUGGAGCUGUCAUUCACUAUAGGCAAGCAACAGACAGAAAUCUUUCGGAAAACAAUGCAUGCUAAUGCUGGUGUGUCGCCACUAUCUGUGCAUG